CAUGCAAGUCGAACGGGAAAUAUUCAUUGAGACUUCGGUGGAUUUGAUUUAUUUCUAGUGGCGGACGGGUGAGUAACGCGUGGGUAACCUGCCUUAUACAGGGGGAUAACAGUCAGAAAUGGCUGCUAAUACCGCAUAAGCGCACAGAGCUGCAUGGCUCAGUGUGAAAAACUCCGGUGGUAUAAGAUGGACCCGCGUUGGAUUAGCUUGUUGGUGGGGUAACGGCCCACCAAGGCGACGAUCCAUAGCCGGCCUGAGAGGGUGAACGGCCACAUUGGGACUGAGACACGGCCCAGACUCCUACGGGAGGCAGCAGUGGGGAAUAUUGCACAAUGGGGGAAACCCUGAUGCAGCGACGCCGCGUGAAGGAAGAAGUAUCUCGGUAUGUAAACUUCUAUCAGCAGGGAAGAUUGUGACGGUACCUGACUAAGAAGCCCCGGCUAACUACGUGCCAGCAGCCGCGGUAAUACGUAGGGGGCAAGCGUUAUCCGGAUUUACUGGGUGUAAAGGGAGCGUAGACGGUGUGGCAAGUCUGAUGUGAAAGGCAUGGGCUCAACCUGUGGACUGCAUUGGAAACUGUCAUACUUGAGUGCCGGAGGGGUAAGCGGAAUUCCUAGUGUAGCGGUGAAAUGCGUAGAUA
This 640-nucleotide ribosomal RNA is filed under the name uncultured Lachnospiraceae bacterium. RNAcentral's name for it is "bacterial SSU rRNA". It matches the Rfam family "Bacterial small subunit ribosomal RNA", at positions 54 to 696 of the family's 1533-position model. Lineage: Bacteria; Bacillati; Bacillota; Clostridia; Lachnospirales; Lachnospiraceae. The record is from RNAcentral.